UACAGAGGUCUCAAGCGUUGUUCGGAUUCAUUGGGCGUAAAGGGUGCGUAGGUGGCGCGGUAAGUCGGGUGUGAAAUUUCGGAGCUUAACUCCGAAACUGCAUUCGAUACUGCCGUGCUUGAGGACUGGAGAGGAGACUGGAAUUUACGGUGUAGCAGUGAAAUGCGUAGAUAUGCGGAGGAACACCGAUGGCGAAGGCAAUCCCCUGGGCCUGCACUGACGCUCAUGCACGAAAGCGUGGGGAGCAAACAGG
Molecule: ribosomal RNA, 253 nt
Filed under: uncultured bacterium
Lineage: Bacteria
Description: partial 16S ribosomal RNA
Rfam family: Bacterial small subunit ribosomal RNA
Source: RNAcentral